UUAUUUUCUUUCCCUCUGUGUUUUUUUUUUUUUUUUUUUUUUUUUUUUUUUUUUGGUUGUUAAUGGGUGCUGGAGACAGCCUCACUUUAAGAUGCCUUAGCUUUGUGAUACUGAUUUAGGAGACCUGUGGAACCAGGACAUGGUUAGCACAGGAGCGUGUGGUUCACCCCAGACCAGCCUUUGUUCUGAGACACGGGUAAUGACUCAUCAACACACCACACACAUACUCAGCCCACAUUUCCUUGACACUGAAUCUGAAUAUUUGUUGCUAUUUAAAAAAGUACAAUGUUUGAUUUGUUGAUUUAAUCACAAAACAAAACACAUGAAUGGAAACACUAAUUUACGUGACUAUUGCUUAUACACCUAAGAGGAAGAGUUGACUGUGGAUGUCCACAGGCAGUUCCUUCAUGAGAGAGUGUGCUCUUACUAGAGCCUUCCAAGGCAAAAAACCAUUCAAGACUGAACUAUGCUGUGCUUGAAUUCACCUUUGGGCUAUGGGAAAGGAUGGAUGGGGCAGGGCCCAGGCUAUUUGAGGGGAAUAAUUAACCAAAAACUGGGGAUUUGCCUGUGCUGCAACACACACAGUUUAUAUAUGAAGGAGGUCCAAGGAUGGAAGCAGCUCUGAAAUGAUUUCUAUUGGAAAAAAGAGAUGCUUUCUAUGCCCACCUGAAUUGCAGUGGGCACAUCCUAUGCAUGCAGUGUGGUGUGAAAGGGAUUCUGGAAAAGGAGUAUAAACUGAUAUAGAGGAGGGUUUAUGUGAUAAUUUUAUACAAUACAUGUAGUAAAUAGAGUAUUUUUGUUACACAUUUUUGUAACAAUCCUAGCUGGUACUGUGGGGAAUGACUAAUUGAUGUAGAUAGUUGAACUACAGAACUGUAAAUAAACUUAAACACACCCCUCCCCCCCCCAGGUAAUUAUAGAAAACAAAACCUGAUUCUCAAAAUUUCAAUUGUCAUGUCUUUUAAUUCAAGGUUUGCAACUGAAGUUAAAGCUCUAGGAAUGGAUUUAAUUUUUUUUAUUAAUAAAUAAAGUAGCUUGUACUUCAUUGAAGACUUGCCAACUCUGCAGACUUAUAAAUAAUCUAAUUUAAUGCAUUUUUUCCUGUCUAUCUACAGCACUUGACAUAAGAUUACAAACAUCUAGUCAAACCCAAAGGUGUGUGUGCUGUUGGAAGUUCUGUGUAACUGGUUUUGAAUGUGAUUGUGACAGAGCUCCUGGAGAGAAGAAUGUGAGAGAACAAAGUACCCAAAUGAACAAAGAGCAUUUUAAAUGGAACCAAUACUUCCAGCCAACCUGGCCUGCUGUAGCUGAGGAUUGCAAGGCUGAAGAGACAUCUAAGCUUGGGAUUUUGCUUGAGGUGGUGCUGUCUGAGUGGGGAAAGGUGAAAGCACAGAAAGAUUUCAACAUCCAGUGACAGCCAAUGUCCUUGAUUUUCCUCCAGCCAGUCCUCCAGUCUUUCUCAGAGUCAGAUGCUGUGCUCCUCGCUGGGAAUGCUGCAGCUUCAUGCCUGUCACUGACAGCCUUGAGCAGCAUUCAGGGCAAGCCUUACAAAAAUCCCACACUCCCCCUCAUUUCACAAUAAAUCACCCAGGCAAGAGUUUUUCCUCCCUCACUGAACUUUUUAAGUGAUGGGUUUUUUCCACAUACAUGGCAAAUCUUGAUAGAAAGCAUUUAACAGUGUGCACUAACAAACUUAUACAACAUAUACAUUACAUAUAUAUAUUAUAUAUAUAGAAUGUUCUAUAUACAAACAUAUACAACUUUUUAGAUCUCUACAGACUACAAGAAAAUUGAUAAUUAUAGUCACAAGUGGUGAACUUAACAGAAAUGGUAAUUGGCAACUGUCUGGAAAUAUGUAAAAUAUGUAAGAGUGGAAAGCUGUGACCUGAUGGGGAGUACUAAAGAAAAGUUGCUUAAAAGUUUAGUAUUAAAAAUUUUAAGUUUGAGGGCAGCUAAAUUCUCAUUUCUCUGUUGCAUAAAAAUGCAAAUGGAAAUCUAGUGGCAGUUUUUUUUUUCACCCUGGUGUUAGAGACUCUUGGCAGCCAGAGUCAGUUGGGCCUUGUGUAAAAGACUUGUUGAGGACACUUUUCUCUCUGGGUGAGCUGCAGUGAUCAGCAGUCAGAAGUUGCUCUUAAAUUUUCUUCAAAGAGCCCAUGAUUCCAAUCAGACUCUGGGGCUGCUUCUGACUGCCACACACCAGGGCAGAAUGGAAAAUAAGCUGGCUGCUGGACAUUUUGAAUGCUGCCCUAGAUGAUUUUGUUGGCCAGAGACCAGCAGAUUUGGAUUACAGGCCAGAGCACAGGCCCAGUGAAUAGAGGUUGAACUGAAGAUCAAAUUGCUAUCAUGUUCUCCUUUAUUUUUCAUCCUCAAUGCCUGGUUAGACCAGUGCUUCCUCACAGGCACAAGUGGCUACUUCUGUGACCCAGCUUUGGAAGGAAUUCCCCAACUCAGUCCCUAUUGGCAUCAGAUUGGCAAGCUUGGCUUAUCCUUACACACAUACACACAGAGAAAUCCUCUUGGGUCCUGGACAGCUCCAUUUCCUUAGCUCUCAGCAGAAGCCCAGGCACUGCUCAGGCUUUGACCUUUUUCCCCUGUAAGUUUCUACAGUUCUGACACCAUAGAGCAGUUUCUCCUGUUCCAAACUUGUGGUGUCUCAUUCCAAGUUGAGCUAAACCUGUCAGGGCCAUCAUUUUGAUUUUGAAUGCAGCAAAAUGUAAAAAUCCUGUAAAUCAUGCAGUGCUCUUCUGCUACAAUGGGAAUUUAAAACUUAACACCUCAAAUCUCUUCCAACCCUUUUACUUGUGCAGAGGGCCAAUUGUGAGGCCAGACUUGUGGAUGGUACAACUUCCUGGGCUGUAUUGUAGGUAAAGGAAGGAGAAGGAAAAUAUGUCUUUGAGAGGGAUUAUCUGAACACUGUGAUGAUACAAACACCAGUGAAGUUAAGGUCUAGGUGGGAGUGGGAUGGUGCCUGUCUCCAUCAGUGUCCAUCAGGAUUCCUUGAAGAGACAGAAGAUGUUACACUUCUUCAGAAGAAAAAUUUUAAAGGCUGUUUUUCCAGCUUUUCCUCAAUUUCUUUUUUCUAAUUUGACACUGUCCAGAUACAUGAAAACAAGCCUUCAGUGCCUUGUUUCCAAGCCAAUCUUGGAAAAAUUUCUAACCUAAGAGUUAGCAUGUGUGGCAGUGAGUCUUGUAGGAUAGGGUGGAACAGGAUAGGCAAUAAAUCCAGCUUACUGUUCUCUUCUCUGGCUGUGGAUUGCAGAGUUUUCUGCAGCAUUCACUGCAAAAACCAAACAAGCCACACUGAAGCAGAAGCAGAACCUUUAGCAGUGUGAGCAGAGUAUAAAUUGCCACUCACCCAUGGUGUCACUUUACAUCUGUGUUCCUAUAUGUGAUGACAAUGGUUUUCCAUGCUCCCCCCUGGCCCACUGUAUAGUAUUUCUGCUCUAAUCUCUCUUUCUCUCAAAGGUUUUGGAGGGGUUUCUGUGCAGGACCCCUCUCAUAAUUUCAGCUGAGCAUUUAAACUGCUCUGUAAGCUUCUCUGCAGCCUCUGUGAGCAGUGUUUGAUGGGACUGUGGUUUCCCAUCUUGCCUUUCCUAACUUGAAGAAAUGCUUUCCAAAGCUGGUUUUCUAUUCCUGUUACUGGGAAAUAAGGCAACAGACUCCACGGGGAUGAAAAGUGCCAUGGCC
This is a long non-coding RNA of Taeniopygia guttata (zebra finch), 3687 nucleotides long. NCBI's taxonomy places the organism in Eukaryota, Metazoa, Chordata, Aves, Passeriformes, Estrildidae. The record is from Ensembl.